RNAcentral lists this ribosomal RNA (433 nucleotides) under uncultured bacterium. RNAcentral's name for it is "partial 16S ribosomal RNA". It matches the Rfam family "Bacterial small subunit ribosomal RNA", at positions 29 to 507 of the family's 1533-position model. The record is from RNAcentral.
AACGAACGCUGGCGGCAUGCCUAACACAUGCAAGUCGAACGAGACCUUCGGGUCUAGUGGCGCACGGGUGCGUAACGCGUGGGAACCUGCCCUUAGGUUCGGAAUAACUCCCCGAAAGGGGUGCUAAUACCGGAUAAUGUCUUCGGACCAAAGAUUUAUCGCCUUUGGAUGGGCCCGCGUUGGAUUAGCUAGUUGGUAGGGUAAAAGCCUACCAAGGCGACGAUCCAUAGCUGGACUGAGAGGAUGAUCAGCCACACUGGGACUGAGACACGGCCCAGACUCCUACGGGAAGCAGCAGUGGGGAAUAUUGGACAAUGGGCGAAAGCCUGAUCCAGCAAUGCCGCGUGAGUGAUGAAGGCCUUAGGGUUGUAAAGCUCUUUUACCCGGGAUGAUAAUGACAGUACCGGGAGAAUAAGCUCCGGCUAACUCCGUG